CAACGUGGGGUAAUCUGCCCUCGGCACUGGGAUAGCCCGGGGGAAACCCGGAUUAAUACCGGAUGGCCUCUCGAGCUCUUGGGCGUCGUGAGAAAAGGUAGCUUCGGCCUCCGGCCGAGGAGGAGCCCGCGGCGGAUUAGCUUGUUGGUGAGGUAAAGGCUCACCAAGGCGACGAUCCGUAGCUGGUGUGAGAGCAUGACCAGCCACACUGGGACUGAGACACGGCCCAG
Molecule: ribosomal RNA, 230 nt
Filed under: uncultured bacterium
Lineage: Bacteria
Description: partial 16S ribosomal RNA
Rfam family: Bacterial small subunit ribosomal RNA
Source: RNAcentral